UACGAAGGGGGCUAGCGUUGUUCGGAAUUACUGGGCGUAAAGCGCACGUAGGCGGAUCGAUCAGUCAGGGGUGAAAUCCCGGGGCUCAACCUCGGAACUGCCUUUGGUACUAACAAUCUUGAGUCCGGAAGAGGUGAGUGGAAUUCCUAGUGUAGAGAUGAAAUUCGUAGAUAUUAGGAAGAACACCAGUGGCGAAGGCGGCUCACUGGUCCGGUACUGACGCUGAGGUGCGAAAGCGUGGGGAGCAAACAGG
This 253-nucleotide ribosomal RNA is filed under the name uncultured bacterium. RNAcentral's name for it is "partial 16S ribosomal RNA". It matches the Rfam family "Bacterial small subunit ribosomal RNA", at positions 524 to 776 of the family's 1533-position model. The record is from RNAcentral.